Molecule: ribosomal RNA, 194 nt
Filed under: uncultured bacterium
Lineage: Bacteria
Description: partial 16S ribosomal RNA
Rfam family: Bacterial small subunit ribosomal RNA
Source: RNAcentral
CCUACGGGAGGCAGCAGUGGGGAAUAUUGGACAAUGGGCGAAAGCCUGAUCCAGCCAUGCCGCGUGGGUGAAGAAGGCCUUCGGGUUGUAAAGCCCUUUUGUUGGGGAAGAAAUCCUGCUGGCUAAUACCCGGCGGGGAUGACGGUACCCAAAGAAUAAGCACCGGCUAACUUCGUGCCAGCAGCCGCGGUAAU